AGCUGACCUGACUGGCCCUGAAGUCAACCUGGGAGGACCAUCCUGGAACCCCGAAGGACACCACCACUCAGGUCUUCAGCUCUGCCCACCUUACCUAGGACAGACAUCUUCUCAGCUGAGCCCUCUGGAAGUUCCUCAUACUUCUUCAGCAGCCUCAGGUUAACUCCACUACCAGAAUCCCGAGAAGACUGCCAAGAGGUCUCAGAAGAAGAUAUAAACACAAAGUGAUGUUCUGGCACUACAACUGUGGACAGAAACACACAUCAACGGGCUGGACAACAGAGUAUCAUGUGGAACACUGAGUUUGUGCUUCUAUGGAUAAACUGACAGAUUUGUGUGUAUUCUUGCACCACAUGAGAGAGAUAAAGAGAUGCAGUCUUCAACUACAGAGGAAAUUGAAGAAAUGAACACUUUGGGGAGGACCUCUCACUAA
Molecule: long non-coding RNA, 433 nt
Organism: Fukomys damarensis (Damara mole-rat)
Lineage: Eukaryota; Metazoa; Chordata; Mammalia; Rodentia; Bathyergidae
Exons: 4
Source: RefSeq, a predicted model, not a curated record